AAAUGAAUUGACGGGGCCCGCACAAGCGGUGGAGCAUGUGGUUUAAUUCGACGCAACGCGAAGAACCUUACCAGGGCUUGACAUCCCCUGACCGCGUAUGAAAGUACGUUUUCACCCUCGGGUGACAGGGAGACAGGUGGUGCAUGGUUGUCGUCAGCUCGUGUCGUGAGAUGUUGGGUUAAGUCCCGCAACGAGCGCAACCCUUGUCUUUAGUUGCCAUCAUUCAGUUGGGCACUCUAAAGAGACUGCCGGUGUCAAACCGGAGGAAGGUGGGGAUGACGUCAAGUCCUCAUGGCCUUUAUGACCAGGGCUACACACGUACUACAAUGGCCGGUACAAAGGGCAGCCACUUAGCGAUAAGGAGCCAAUCCCGUAAAGCCGGUCUCAAUCCGGAUUGGAGUCUGCAACUCGACUCCAUGAAGUUGGAAUCGCUAGUAAUCGCAGAUCAGCACGCUGCGGUGAAUACGUUCCCGGGCCUU
RNAcentral lists this ribosomal RNA (479 nucleotides) under uncultured Desulfocapsa sp. RNAcentral's name for it is "bacterial SSU rRNA". It matches the Rfam family "Bacterial small subunit ribosomal RNA", at positions 903 to 1382 of the family's 1533-position model. Lineage: Bacteria; Pseudomonadati; Thermodesulfobacteriota; Desulfobulbia; Desulfobulbales; Desulfocapsaceae. The record is from RNAcentral.